This 773-nucleotide ribosomal RNA is filed under the name Streptococcus anginosus. Its description in RNAcentral is "bacterial SSU rRNA". It matches the Rfam family "Bacterial small subunit ribosomal RNA", at positions 28 to 776 of the family's 1533-position model. Lineage: Bacteria; Bacillati; Bacillota; Bacilli; Lactobacillales; Streptococcaceae. The record is from RNAcentral.
GACGAACGCUGGCGGCGUGCCUAAUACAUGCAAGUAGGACGCACAGUUUAUACCGUAGCUUGCUACACCAUAGACUGUGAGUUGCGAACGGGUGAGUAACGCGUAGGUAACCUGCCUAUUAGAGGGGGAUAACUAUUGGAAACGAUAGCUAAUACCGCAUAACAGUAUGUAACACAUGUUAGAUGCUUGAAAGAUGCAAUUGCAUCGCUAGUAGAUGGACCUGCGUUGUAUUAGCUAGUAGGUAGGGUAAUGGCCUACCUAGGCGACGAUACAUAGCCGACCUGAGAGGGUGAUCGGCCACACUGGGACUGAGACACGGCCCAGACUCCUACGGGAGGCAGCAGUAGGGAAUCUUCGGCAAUGGGGGGAACCCUGACCGAGCAACGCCGCGUGAGUGAAGAAGGUUUUCGGAUCGUAAAGCUCUGUUGUUAAGGAAGAACGAGUGUGAAAAUGGAAAGUUCAUACUGUGACGGUACUUAACCAGAAAGGGACGGCUAACUACGUGCCAGCAGCCGCGGUAAUACGUAGGUCCCGAGCGUUGUCCGGAUUUAUUGGGCGUAAAGCGAGCGCAGGCGGUUAGAAAAGUCUGAAGUGAAAGGCAGUGGCUCAACCAUUGUAGGCUUUGGAAACUGUUUAACUUGAGUGCAGAAGGGGAGAGUGGAAUUCCAUGUGUAGCGGUGAAAUGCGUAGAUAUAUGGAGGAACACCGGUGGCGAAAGCGGCUCUCGGGUCUGUAACUGACGCUGAGGCUCGAAAGCGUGGGGAGCGAACAGG